RNAcentral lists this ribosomal RNA (774 nucleotides) under uncultured fungus. Its description in RNAcentral is "eukaryotic LSU rRNA". It matches the Rfam family "Eukaryotic large subunit ribosomal RNA", at positions 30 to 821 of the family's 3401-position model. Lineage: Eukaryota; Fungi. The record is from RNAcentral.
GAACUUAAGCAUAUCAAUAAGCGGAGGAAAAGAAACCAACAGGGAUUGCCUCAGUAACGGCGAGUGAAGCGGCAACAGCUCAAAUUUGAAAUCUGGCUCUUUCAGGGUCCGAGUUGUAAUUUGUAGAAGAUGCUUUGGGUGUAGCUCCGGUCUAAGUUCCUUGGAACAGGACGUCAUAGAGGGUGAGAAUCCCGUAUGUGACUGGGUGCUUUCGCUCGUGUAAAGCUCUUUCGACGAGUCGAGUUGUUUGGGAAUGCAGCUCAAAAUGGGUGGUAAAUUUCAUCUAAAGCUAAAUAUUGGCCAGAGACCGAUAGCGCACAAGUAGAGUGAUCGAAAGAUGAAAAGCACUUUGGAAAGAGAGUUAAACAGUACGUGAAAUUGUUGAAAGGGAAGCGCUUGCAACCAGACUUGCGCGCUGUUGAUCAUCCGAGCUUUUGCCCGGUGCACUCGGCAGCGUUCAGGCCAGCAUCGGUUUUGGUGGGCGGAUAAAGGCCUUGGGAAUGUAGCUUCUUUCGGGGAGUGUUAUAGCCCUCGGUGCAAUGCGCCCUACCGGGACCGAGGACCGCGCUUCGGCUAGGAUGCUGGCGUAAUGGUUGUAAGCGACCCGUCUUGAAACACGGACCAAGGAGUCUAACAUCUAUGCGAGUGUUUGGGUGUCAAACCCAUACGCGUAAUGAAAGUGAACAGAGGUGAGAACCCUUAAGGGUGCAUCAUCGACCGAUCCUGAUGUCUUCGGAUGGAUUUGAGUAAGAGCAUAGCUGUUGGGACCCGAAA